GCCAUAUCCUGAACGGUGAACCCCGUGGAAGAAGCCCCAGCCACGGAACAGCUUUGCCUCUCCGCCCCCUCCUUUCUCCCCUAGGCCGACAGCGGCGCUCGUGUUCCUCUGCUCACCGUCGGUACAUUCGACGGGAUUUGCCCUUUCUCUUUCCCCUCACCCCAAACUCGGCGGCGGCACAUCUCCUCUCCGGCGCCAUGUCUGCCGGUGGACGGGUGGGUUGAUUCGAUGCAUCCCCUGGUUGUGGUGCCUCCAGUGGAGUCGCGGGCUUCAGUGAGUGUCGCGGAUGGCCACAUUUGUCGCGCUGCCGAUCCAGCAGUGCCCAACUCCGGUGAUUUCCAGUUGGACGGAAACAGGGGAUUUGAGGUGUGCUCUAAAGCUACGAGAAGAUGGACGAGAAGGCUAACAUACCCAUCAAAAGACAUGCAUGCAAGCUGUGUUUGAACAAUAUGGUGAGGCCUUGUACAAUUGUGGGGCGUAUGUGCUAGAUGAGAUAGAACCUUGAAGGAUGUACAUGGCGACACAUGUUGAUGCAUCAGCUAGAGAGAAGUAGAUCAAGGUUGAAUUCAAGAUAGAGGUGAAUGAUGUUGAAAGUUUCUUCAGUUGUGAGUGUGGAAACUUUGAACAAUCCGGCAUGAUCUAUUGUCAUGCACUCCAAGUGAUGAUACAUCUUCGUCUGUCGAAACCUGAGAAGAACUUCCUGAAGCAUGAGGCCCGUGAUAGGUAGCGUCCUCGAGCACUGUCAGAAUGCUUGUGGUAAGUUGAGUGUACGAUUUGAUCCUACCUCCCUAUUGUUUAGAGCUGAGGUGCCCUUGGUUACAAAACUCGUGCAACCCAAUGUAUUCAUGAUACGCUUGCGUGAUUGUUGAACCAUGUUGUGUUACUUGGUACGGUGGGACUUUGAUGAAUCUCAUUAUUUCUGUGACAUGAUGAUUGACUGGUCUAUUCCAGCUUAGUACUUUGUUUGUCAAGGAGUGCG
Molecule: ribosomal RNA, 979 nt
Filed under: Triticum aestivum (bread wheat)
Lineage: Eukaryota; Viridiplantae; Streptophyta; Magnoliopsida; Poales; Poaceae
Description: partial small subunit ribosomal RNA
Source: RNAcentral